Molecule: ribosomal RNA, 406 nt
Filed under: uncultured bacterium
Lineage: Bacteria
Description: partial 16S ribosomal RNA
Rfam family: Bacterial small subunit ribosomal RNA
Source: RNAcentral
AUUGAACGCUGGCGGCAGGCCUAACACAUGCAAGUCGAGCGAGCGGCGGACGGGUGAGUAAUGUAGGGGGAUCUGCGCGAUAGAGGGGGAAAAAUAGUGGAAACGGUGGAUAAUACCGCAAAAUCUCGGAAGAACCCAUAUGGGAUUAGCUAGUAGGAGGGGUAAAGGCUCACCUAGGCGACGAUCUCUAGCUGGUCUGAGAGGAUGAUCAGCCACACUGGGACUGAGACACGGCCCAGACUCCUACGGGAGGCAGCAGUGGGGAAUAUUGCACAAUGGGCGCAACCCUGAUGCAGCCAUGCCGCGUGUAUGAUGAAGGCCUUAGGGUUGUAAAGUACUUUCAGCGGGGAGGCGUUACCCGCAGAAUAAGCACCGGCUAACUCCGUGCCAGCCGCCGCGGUAAUUC